RNAcentral lists this ribosomal RNA (492 nucleotides) under uncultured bacterium. RNAcentral's name for it is "partial 16S ribosomal RNA". It matches the Rfam family "Bacterial small subunit ribosomal RNA", at positions 29 to 507 of the family's 1533-position model. The record is from RNAcentral.
AGUGAACGCUGGCGGUAGGCCUAACACAUGCAAGUCGAACGGCAGCACAGUAAGAGCUUGCUCUUACGGGUGGCGAGUGGCGGACGGGUGAGGAGUACAUCGGAAUCUACUUUUUCGUGGGGGAUAACGUAGGGAAACUUACGCUAAUACCGCAUACGACCUACGGGUGAAAGCAGGGGAUCUUCGGACCUUGCGCGACUGAAUGAGCCGAUGUCGGAUUAGCUAGUUGGCGGGGUAAAGGCCCACCAAGGCGACGAUCCGUAGCUGGUCUGAGAGGAUGAUCAGCCACACUGGAACUGAGACACGGUCCAGACUCCUACGGGAGGCAGCAGUGGGGAAUAUUGGACAAUGGGCGCAAGCCUGAUGCAGCCAUACCGCGUGGGUGAAGAAGGCCUUCGGAUUGUAAAGCCCUUUUGUUGGGGAAGAACAGCAGCAGGUUUAUACCCCGCUGUUCUGACGGUACCCAAAGAAUAAGCCCCGGCUAACUUCGUG